RNAcentral lists this microRNA precursor (86 nucleotides) under Pongo abelii (Sumatran orangutan). Its description in RNAcentral is "miRNA". It matches the Rfam family "mir-203 microRNA precursor family". The record is from RNAcentral. Lineage: Eukaryota; Metazoa; Chordata; Mammalia; Primates; Hominidae.
GUGCCCGCCGGGUCUAGUGGUCCUAAACAUUUCACAAUUGCGCUACAGAACUGUUGAACUGUUAAGAACCACUGGACCCAGCGCGC